GGAUCUCUUGGUUCUGGCAUCGAUGAAGAACGCAGCAAAAUGCGAUAAGUAAUGUGAAUUGCAGAAUUCAGUGAAUCAUCGAAUCUUUGAACGCACAUUGCGCCCGCCAGUAUUCUGGCGGGCAUGCCUGUUCGAGCGUCAUUUCAACCCU
Molecule: ribosomal RNA, 151 nt
Filed under: Fusarium proliferatum
Lineage: Eukaryota; Fungi; Ascomycota; Sordariomycetes; Hypocreales; Nectriaceae
Description: 5.8S ribosomal RNA
Rfam family: 5.8S ribosomal RNA
About the family: 5.8S ribosomal RNA (5.8S rRNA) is a component of the large subunit of the eukaryotic ribosome. It is transcribed by RNA polymerase I as part of the 45S precursor that also contains 18S and 28S rRNA. Functionally, it is thought that 5.8S rRNA may be involved in ribosome translocation.
Source: RNAcentral